AUAGGGUGUUAAAAACAAAUCAGCCCUUGUGUAAUUGGGUACAGCUUCCCUGAAGCAAGUAGAGUUUGCACCUGUUUGAACCAGGGCUUCAUCUGGUCUGCUGAAGCAAACAAUCCUCAUUCCAGAAGAAGUGUUCGGAGCCACAGGGGAAUACUGGGAAAUAGAGCUAUUUUGAGAGAGAAUGGGCUUUCUGCAAAUAGCUGUGAUUAGUUCUGAAUGUGCACUCCACCAGUGACCAAGGCCAUAUGCAGAAGAAAGAAAUUGAGAAUUGAGAGAAACCUCCUCCAAGAUAUAGGCAUGCAUCAUUGUGUCAUCAUUAAAUGUUCCAGUUAAUAGUUUGCGAGGUUCUGGACUAAAGAGAUACUUAAAGGUGAGCAGAUCGUCUUCACAGCACCAGAGGCAGGGAGCAGCUGAACUGGAAUAAAUGCAGGACUAACAUCUUCUUAAAGCUGUUACUCAAGGUAAAUAGGAAAUGGGUUUAGUCGUAAUUAAGAAGGCUUUGUAGCUGCUGCAGUUAUUCUGUACCAAAGAUCCAGAAAACUGUCCCUUUUUCCACCCUCUGCAUAGUGAUAUUGUUACGUUCGCCUCUCCUUGAAAACCCAAAGAUUUUAUGAGGCAAGUAAACAAAAAUUCCAGAUUAUGGAAAUUGAUGAAAGCACACAAUGCUGCCUUUCUCAGUGUUCAGACUCAACUAAUUAAGGAUUAGAUUAUUCAAGAGCAGCAGAUCAAUUAGGAUUGCUUU
Molecule: long non-coding RNA, 742 nt
Organism: Pezoporus flaviventris
Lineage: Eukaryota; Metazoa; Chordata; Aves; Psittaciformes; Psittacidae
Exons: 4
Source: RefSeq, a predicted model, not a curated record